Molecule: transfer RNA, 89 nt
Filed under: Candidatus Aenigmatarchaeota archaeon
Lineage: Archaea; Nanobdellati; Candidatus Aenigmatarchaeota
Description: tRNA-Ile
Rfam family: tRNA
About the family: Transfer RNA (tRNA) molecules are approximately 80 nucleotides in length.
Source: RNAcentral
GGGCGGGUAGCUUAGCCUGGUUGGAACUUUAAGCAACAAGCGUCCGCCUGAUAAGCGGAAGGUCCUGGGUUCAAAUCCCAGCCCGCCCA